GGCAGACGGGUGAGUAACAUGUAGGUAUCUGCCCUUUGGCCUGGAAUAACACGAGGAAACUUGUGCUAAUACCGGAUAAGUCUUUACGGAGAAAGCUUUAUGCACCAUUGGAUGAGCCUGCACUUGACUAGUUUGUUGGUGGGGUAAUGGCCUACCAAGACUGUGAUCAAUAGCUGAUUUGAGAGGAUGAUCAGCCACAUUGGGACUGAGACACGGCCCAAACUCCUACGGGAGGCAGCAAUGGGGAAUCUUGCACAAUGGAGGAAACUCUGAUGCAGCGAUGCCGCGUGAGUGAAGAAGGCCCUUGGGUUGUAAAGCUCUUUCGUCGGGGAAGAAGAUGACUGUACCCGAAUAAGAAGGUCCGGCUAACUUCGUGCCAGCAGCCGCGGUAAUACGAAGGGACCUAGCGUAGUUCGGAAUUACUGGGCUUAAAGAGUUCGUAGGUGGUUGAAAAAGUUGGUGGUGAAAUCCCAGAGCUUAACUCUGGAACUGCCAUCAAAACUUUUCAGCUAGAGUAUGAUAGAGGAAAGCAGAAUUUCUAGUGUAGAGGUGAAAUUCGUAGAUAUUAGAAAGAAUACCAAUUGCGAAGGCAGCUUUCUGGAUCAUUACUGACACUGAGGAACGAAAGCAUGGGUAGCGAAGAGGAUUAGAUACCCUCGUAGUCCAUGCCGUAAACGAUGCGUGUUAGACGUUGGAAAUUUAUUUUCA
Molecule: ribosomal RNA, 708 nt
Filed under: uncultured marine bacterium
Lineage: Bacteria
Description: bacterial SSU rRNA
Rfam family: Bacterial small subunit ribosomal RNA
Source: RNAcentral